This 5619-nucleotide long non-coding RNA is filed under the name Rhipicephalus microplus (southern cattle tick). RNAcentral describes it as "uncharacterized LOC119181400, transcript variant X1". The record is from RNAcentral. Lineage: Eukaryota; Metazoa; Arthropoda; Arachnida; Ixodida; Ixodidae.
GUUUUUAUGCCCUUGUAACUAUCACACCGGUAUUCCAAGCAUGUCAUAUUUUUUCCCUUACUUCAUUUAUUAUUAGACAUUUCGUGUCUUUUGAAAAUUCAUUUUUUUGUGUGAUUGCAUAAACUGCCUCGUUACUGCCCGAUGACGAUUGAGUCAUCGCAGGUUUCCGUACAGAAACACGAGCGUCUCGUCUAGAGCUUUGUCUCUCCAUACAGCUCGUUACACACACCAAUUUUUCGGGCCGGGCAGUCUUUGCGAGGGUGUCGCUGACGCCCACAAAAGCGGCAUGAUAGCGCAGCCAAGUGUUCAGACUGAUAGCGAGAACGGGAUGAAGGGGUGGACGCAUCAUUUCAACGAGCCAAAUUGAUGUUCAGCAUUCCAGCAAGGGCGUUAUGCGCAGUCAAUCUUUGGCGGGAUAAUAGCUUUCUCUGCGUCUUCAUGAAUUCGGGAUUGGUACAGCGCUUCUUCGGCGGUAAGUUUUUUGCAGUGGCAAAAUUGUUCAGACAGUCUCUCGUCACUUAUGCUCACGACAACUCUUUCAUGAACAAGAUCGUCCUCGACAAGCGAGCUGCUGUAGCUGCAGCGCUUCACCAGGUUACGUAACGUCGUGAAAAAGUCAUCUACAGAUUCGCCUGGCUGCUGAAUGCGGCGGUGAAAACGGCGACUUUUGUAUAUCUCAUUCACAGGGAGCACAAAGUGCGAAUACAAGUUUUUUUUGACAGGUGUGAACGAAGAGUCUCCUGUGCCUAUACCCAAACGACAAAAGAAUGGAUCUGGUUUGCGAUCCCAUACAGUAAAGAAGUGUCCGUACUCAGGCCCCAUCAAUGGUAUUGUGCAGGCCGGCCACGAAGGCGUAGUCUUGGAACGUUGCAAUCCACGUGGGCCAUUUUUCAUGGUUAGAAAAAGUGAAGUUUGCUGGAGGACGCAGGCCAGAUAUGCCCACCCGAACGUUGUUAACUUUGGCUUCGGCGGGGGUCGAUACCACGUCGUUAGGCAUGUUGGGUUAAUGGCGUGAUCCCGCUUCUUACACCAUGUUCAGCCCGGGAGCCAAGAAACGAGGCGGACAGCUGGCAAGCGGAAACCAAAACAACUUUACUCCCUCUCUCUAAAUCCCAUAUAUACACUCAGUAGACACCAGUGCCUCCUUGUGGCCCCAUGCUACAAGGAACACUGGCAGUGCCCUCUACACAAUCCAUCACCAUCGGCAGCUUCAUCCCUUGGUCUAAAGAUCGCGCACCUACGGAAAAAACUCACGGCGUCAUGUACCGGAUCGCGCCAACUGCCCUAUUUCCUACAUUGGAGAAGCCAAGAACUUCCACGAAAGAAUGCGGCAGCACAAGAAUAACCUCCGCCAGUUGAAUAGAGGACGGAGCGCAGUAGCAGAACACUGCGAGCGGAUUGACCACCAUAUGCGUCCCGACGACGCGAUAAUUCUGGCAAGAGAAAGAAACCCUCGCCGGUGGCUCCUCCUCAAAUCCUGGCAAAUUCAGCAGCAACAGGAAACACCAACUGCUCUACGGUGACAUCGCCCUCCCUCUCCUACCAGGGCUUGCGAAAAGUCAUGGCAAGCCUUGCACUCAUCCUCAAUCAAUCCUCUUUCACCCUCUCCACGACACUGUGCCGUGCUCCCGAUAGGACUGAAGAAAACCACGUUUUACCACGUACCCAUAAAAGCUCGAAGCAAGAACCUUUCAAGCCCACCAAUCGUUUAAACGGAGCGGAAAUAAAUAUCAGUAGUUAGUUACGUGCUUCCUUUGCUUGCAUCAUGAGCACCGAUCCUCCGCCUUUGAAAAAGCGAAAAAUACGUCAGUGCACGUUCCGGAAAGAGUGAAGAUCUCCACCCGAAUAGAAGAGCUGGCUCCUGCCCGUAGAAGACGAUGCCACAGCCGCGAUGUGCGCCAUAUGUGCAAGCACAUUUACGGUUAAAUUUGAUGGCAUCAGCGCUGUGAAGCAUCAUACAUCAACGCAGAAACAUAAACAGAAGAACCUCGCCUCGAAACAGUCGGCUACAGCCAAACGUUCUUUGUUCUAGCCAUUUCUAGCGCAGAAGAUAACUAGACUGCUGCGGAACUGAGCACCAUAUUCCAAGGAAUUAAGCACAACUACAGUUACCUGUCAAUGAACCGUGGCAGUAAGUUGGCACCGAAAGUCUUCUCGGAUUCAGACAUUGCUUCCAGAAUGCGACUCGGAAGAACAAAGAUGGAACAACUCGUGAGAGAUGUACUGGUACCUUCCGCGGUGGAGUGCAUAGUCAAAAAACGUCGUCCAGCAGGCCGCAACCUUCCAUUCACUCUCUACACUGACGCUUCCAACAAGGAAAACGGAAAACCUUUCCGUAUUGCAGUGCGUUUCUACGAUGCGAGUGGUGCCGAAAUAACUGAUGCUUUCAUCGACUUUUGUGAGCCGGCGGACGGAACCUACGGUGGCAUCUGCGAACUUAGGCAACAAAGGAGGUAGGCCUUUCUUUGGAGCGAGCUGUAGCGUAUAGCGCGGAUGAUGCUUCUGUGAAUUAUGCGAAACUUAACUCAGUUUUCCAAAGAUGCAGAAAGAUCAGCUGAUUUUGUUGAAGACCAAUUGCAAUUGCCAUGUUGUGCGUAACACUGAGAAGCACGCAAUCAAGUUUUAAAAGUUGGACGUUGAAACUCUUGUACUAAAGUUAGUCAAAGAAUUUUCUUCUUGCUCGAAAUGUGCAGAUGAAUUGAAAACUUUCUUUUAGUUUUGUGAUCAGGAAUAUAGCGAAGUUCUGUGUCAUAUUUCGGUCCGCUGGUUAAGCAUGUUUACAGCCUUAGACAGAUUAAUUAAGAACUGGACAUACUUUCUGAGUCAAGGAAAGGAGGAGUGCGAAAAAAUAAUCUGGAGAUUUAUAGGCCACCAAGCCGAAGGACUUUUAGAGAGUGUCACGCUUCUGGAGUGCUACAUAUACUUCAUGCACUCGUUCCUUGCAAUGUUACAUUCAGCAAUCCUCACCCUCGGAAAGAGCCACCUUGAGCUGACAGAACUUUACGCUAUAAUGACUAAGCUCAGGAAACAGCUGACCAAUCGAACGGAUGAUAUAUUCUUCGGUGUCAAGCCUAAUCUGGGACUUGAAAUAUUUCCUUGUAGAUAAGUUGCAAAGCUGGACUUUGUGAAUGUCUAUGACAGGGCCCUUGCGUACCUCAAAAAGUGGUUCAACAUCGAGGACUCUGUUUAAGAUGCUCGCCGCAUUAGAUCUGCGCAAAGGUGAACCCACUUUAUUAAUGGUAAUAAAUGCGAGCAACCUUUUUGGCAAUGAUUUUCAAGCGGAAGGAGACGAACUCUACUCAGAGCUUUGUCUUUUGAAGGAUGCUCUGCCUGGACUUGUAAAUUAGGACGAGAAAUCAAGCUCGGUGUGGCUGAAGUUUUUAAAAUAGGUUAAGUGCCCCUUCUUGCAGAAGCUAAUGGAGCAUGUGUACUCCAUUCCCUGCAGCAAUGCGUUCGUGAAACGCAUCUUCAGCGUAAUGGGAAACUUGUGGACGUAUGAAAGAAACCAGCUAAGCGUGUCAAUGAUUAAAGCAGAACUUAGUGUACGGUAGAAUAUUUUGUAUAGCUGUGAAGAAUUUAUAAAGAUGUCGAGAGCACACAAGAAGCUCAUCCGAUCCGCUAAGUCAAAUACUAAGUACAUAUUCAUGUUCCGCGAAUAGGAGAAGGCGAGCACAUAUGAUUUCUCUAUAUAUUUUUGAACAGUGAACAGUGAACAGUGAACUUUAUUGACAUCAUGUACAUAGUACACACACAUAGUACACAAUGCCGGAGGCCGGCAGAAAAAGCCAUCGCAAGGAUAGCUUGACGAAGCUGCCGGCCCCCGUUUUGGCACCAGAGUACAAAAGUGUUCUCAGUACAUAAAGAAAAUGUACUGAACAGAUAAACCACUUAGUACAGGACCCGAAGGAAAAUGUGAGCCCACUACAAAUAACCACGUCUUGCGUACAAACCAUACACAAAAGAAAAAUAUACACCAACGGAUGUACUAAAUAGCUCAGUACAUAUAGAUUACCUUCAUAAUACAUGCAUACAGAUUAACAUAACUUUGUAAUUUACAUAGAGUACACUAUAGAUAUAUAAUUGCACAAAUCAUUCAAUACACGACCGAAAGAAAUAUCAGAAAAAUAUGAGGUGGUUACAAAUCGCCAUGCCUAGCGUACGCCAACAUAUUCUCUAUAGUUGACACUCAUAGGCAUGCGCGAGAUAUUAUAUAGUGUAAAUGUAAUUAUUUGCAAGAAAGGAACGUAUUGCAUUGAAAGUGUUGCUUUCCCUGCUGAAAUUUAAAUUCGUAUAAAGCAUUUAGUAGCCUCGGAAGUCUGUUUCCUAACGUAUGUCGCCCAUAUGUUGUUCUACAAGUUUUAACAGUCCAAAUUUCGCAGUUUCGCGUUUUAUAAGGCUGACAAUUUCUUUUAAGGUUGGCAAGUUCAGUCAAGAAUACAUGUUUCCCCUUUAAUUCUUGUUUAUAGGCUUUCGCCAAUCUAAAGUUGUACAUCUUCUCAAAAGGCAUUACAUUAUACUUUUCAAACAACGGGUAGGUGUGAAAAUGUGAAGGCACGUCCUCUACAGCACGUAGAAAUCUUUUUCGUAGACAAUACAAUUUUUGUAUGUUUUCUUGACUAGUGGAUGCCCAAAAUAGAUGGCAAUAGUUAACUCUUGAAGAAAAUAAAGAGUUGUAAAUAAUAUCAUUACAUGUCUCGGAAGGAGACAUGUAAUGAGACAUGUUUUAUGCGUUGUAAGUGCACUGCUCAUUAUUGCAUGUGUAGCUAUGCAUGCAUUGUAUACUUUUUAAAGUAGCACUGAACAGCUCAGAAAAAAAUGACGAAAACGUCGAAAUUCUACUCGGAAGACUCGGCUAUUCCGAUAAACAGACUUUUGAACAGUUGGCCGUAUUUUUGUUUGCGUGCGGCGGCUGUACGCCAGCGCAAGCACCCCGGUUGAAAGGUGCACGCGUUCGUGUCCAUUACCUCCCUGUUUCUACCUCUCCUUUAUAAUCCACUCUCCCCCUUCCACAAAAACGGAGAUGUUACGCCUUCUUUCGGGGCUUUAUCCAACUUGGGAACAUUUUUCGCUGCAGGUGCCGCUCGUAGGGCGGGCUGAGCGGGUUGAGAGACCCGGUUGACCGGAAUGGCGUUGUUGGCACGCCUGUUCCAGGCACGGCCGUUCGAGGAAGUGGAAGGCACGCUAUAGUUCAAGGCGCGGCGGAAAAGUGGCAGCGCUAACGCCGACCCAAGCAUCUAUUUGUCUUCGGCAAGAGGUCGGCGAGUGGUCUGUAACUGACUGCGAAGUGCUUGGACUAACCUUGGCAACCAACGUAAGGCCGGUCUUGAAGAUUGCAUUGACCUCACGACAGCCGAUGUUGCAACACAACGUAGGCCCGACCGAGUUGACCGACGAGCCCGAGUGCGUGCCGCACGCGGGUUUACCAUGGCCUGACCUUACAUAAGCGUCGAUUUACCGUCGGCUGCAGGUUCGUCGCCAACGUUCCUUGCUCAGCAUAUUUUUGUAUUUUGUGCACAUUACAGUGGCUAACUACACAUGUAAGACGAAAUAAAUGUUUCUAAAGUAUGCACUUGUUAGCGUGUACGUACGUAACGCACAAUAAAAGAAAGACGAACGUAA